This is a long non-coding RNA of Perca flavescens (yellow perch), 315 nucleotides long. RefSeq lists it as uncharacterized. The transcript has 3 exons. The record is from RefSeq and is a predicted model, not a curated record. Lineage: Eukaryota; Metazoa; Chordata; Actinopteri; Perciformes; Percidae.
UUUCCCUGGGGAACAUUUAUACUGGUGCACCUUUGUGAGAGCAGGUGGUGAAAUGUUUGGUGCAUUUCACUGGAAUUCCUUCAUGGAAGAGGAGACUCUCAUUCAGACAUAUUCAGCUCAUUUGGGAUUCUGGAGACCCAACCGGUGAAGCUGGAGUCUCAGAUCUAUUAAUCCAGACGCUCCAGGCAGCCCGGGGGUCCCGCUGCCUCCACCAGAGUCCCAUGACUGCGUCUCCAUGGUUACCGAGGACACCCAACAACCAGGGGAGAGAACGCCUAAUUACCCAGAAAGCAACAGUGAAGUGAAGCCUCUCGC